GGCCCCCCAGGGUUGUACAGAGCCAUUGUGACCCUGUACAUUCUUCUUGCUCUGCUUUCCAUCGUCCUGUUGGCCUGGAUCCUGGUAAAGAAUUCUGAGAUGUCCCGGGAGAUGCUCUUCUUGAAAAUGGAGAUCUCGAAUGUCUCUCACUCAGCACUUGAGUGCCGGGAAGGGCAGAAGG
Miniopterus natalensis is the source of this 181-nucleotide non-coding RNA. NCBI's taxonomy places the organism in Eukaryota, Metazoa, Chordata, Mammalia, Chiroptera, Miniopteridae. The record is from RefSeq and is a predicted model, not a curated record.